RNAcentral lists this ribosomal RNA (547 nucleotides) under uncultured bacterium. RNAcentral describes it as "partial 16S ribosomal RNA". It matches the Rfam family "Bacterial small subunit ribosomal RNA", at positions 355 to 895 of the family's 1533-position model. The record is from RNAcentral.
UGGGGAAUUUUGGACAAUGGGCGCGAGCCUGAUCCAGCAAUGCCGCGUGCAGGAUGAAGGCCUUCGGGUUGUAAACUGCUUUUGUACGGAACGAAAAGCCUCUCUCUAAUACAGGGGGUGAUGACGGUACCGUAAGAAUAAGCACCGGCUAACUACGUGCCAGCAGCCGCGGUAAUACGUAGGGUGCAAGCGUUAAUCGGAAUUACUGGGCGUAAAGCGUGCGCAGGCGGUUUUGUAAGACAGUGGUGAAAUCCCCGGGCUCAACCUGGGAACUGCCAUUGUGACUGCAAGGCUGGAGUGCGGCAGAGGGGGAUGGAAUUCCGCGUGUAGCAGUGAAAUGCGUAGAUAUGCGGAGGAACACCGAUGGCGAAGGCAAUCCCCUGGGCCUGCACUGACGCUCAUGCACGAAAGCGUGGGGAGCAAACAGGAUUAGAUACCCUGGUAGUCCACGCCCUAAACGAUGUCAACUGGUUGUUGGGGAUUUAUUUCUUCAGUAACGAAGCUAACGCGUGAAGUUGACCGCCUGGGGGAGUACGGCCGCAAGGUU